RNAcentral lists this ribosomal RNA (401 nucleotides) under uncultured bacterium. RNAcentral's name for it is "partial 16S ribosomal RNA". It matches the Rfam family "Bacterial small subunit ribosomal RNA", at positions 360 to 776 of the family's 1533-position model. The record is from RNAcentral.
AAUAUUGCACAAUGGAGGAAACUCUGAUGCAGCGACGCCGCGUGAGUGAAGAAGGUCUUCGGAUCGUACAACUCUGUCCCUGGUGAAGACAGACAUGACGGUAGCCAAGGAGGAAGCCCCGGCUAACCACGUGCCAGCAGCCGCGGUAAUACGUAGGGGGCGAGCGUUGUCCGGAUUUACUGGGCCUAAAGGGUGAGUAGGCGGUGAUAUGUGUCAAAUGUAAAAGGCUAUGGCUUAACUAUAGUUAGCAUUUGAAACUGUAUUACUUGAGUGCAGGAGAGGUAAGUGGAAUUCCUAGUGUAGCGGUGAAAUGCGUAGAUAUUAGGAGGAACACCAGUGGCGAAGGCGACUUACUGGACUGUAACUGACGCUGAGUCACGAAAGCGUGGGUAGCAAACAGG